CUGGAUGCUAAAUAAAUACCAUAAAAGAAAUACAAAAAUAGAAUAAAAUCAAAAAAAGGUGAAACCUACCCAGUAUUCAAGGAAAGUAAAAUUUAAAAAUUAUGAUGAAACAUUAUCCAUUUAAAUUUUAUAAGCUUCAUUCGUUGGUUCUAGAUAACCGACUAAAUAUAGAACACAUGAUGUGAGCUUACUGGAGUAUUUGAUAGAAUUAAUGUUUAAAAUUACAAGAAAAUGACACAAGCAAAAUGCAUGCUUAAAUGCUUGAUAUGAUGAAGCCAACAUAGAAAUAUCAUUUUAUUAAAAUUGGGGAACAUAAGUUUGGUGAGUUUUCUAAUUUGGUCGAGUUAACUAACUCAGGAUAGACACAGGCCAAACCUGAUUUAGUCAUAAUCCUGCUCUAAAGCUUUGCAAUUGAUAUGAAUUUUCACCAACUAGAAUGAAAAAAAAUGAUUCAGCUUGGCCAAAAACCUUUCAAUAUGGGGUACUUUGUGAGCUCAACGAACAAAUAUGUGAAAUUUAUAGUUAAAGGAAUCAACAUUAUACCUUGUGAAGGCAUUGAACUUGUUAAAUUGUUUUGAUCCAAAUCUAAGGAAUUAAGCGAAGAUAAAUUUUCAAAAGCUAUGGGUAUCCCUCUUGUGAGCUGAUUUUGUCCAAGAUCAACCACUCUAAGCUUCUACAUUUCUAGAAGGCCUGAAGUAUAUAGCCAUGGAUAUAAACAAAGAAGAUGAUAUAAAGCAUUACACUCAAUGUAUUAAUGAUCUCAUGAUAGAGAAAUAAUUGCAAAUUAAUGACCCUAUAAGUAAUUACCUUCCAUAUUAAGUGCGCCAUUUAGCUAAUUUUGUUUUAAGAUUCAGGACACUAAGUGAACACAGAUUUUGAGAGAUAAUGGAAUCAUUCCAAUGAGACUGUUAUAGGUAAGAUCAAGGAUUUCCAACUUUCUAAAUCUUGAUAUAUUUAUCAAUUAUAAAGUUCCCCAAUAAAAUGAAUCUAAAUAAAAAAUAUUUACAACA
This 1010-nucleotide long non-coding RNA is filed under the name Elaeis guineensis (African oil palm). RNAcentral describes it as "long non-coding RNA (EGUI_LNC077331)". Lineage: Eukaryota; Viridiplantae; Streptophyta; Magnoliopsida; Arecales; Arecaceae. The record is from RNAcentral.